AGGUGCAUUCCACAAGCUACUUAGUGGAAAAGCAGAUUCCUAACUUGUGUCCAGUCCUGCACAUUUAGGGGCUAUGAAAGGCUAUUUCCGGCUGUCGUGCUAUGUCUGUGCUCUCUUCGUCUUGGGCGUCCUGCAACAGAGAAUCAACUGAGGUCCCUUCUUCAAAUGCCCUCGCCUGAGUCUACAUAAGGCUGAGGCCCAGGAGGGAGGGGGCUGCACUUGGGACCACUGGGAGGCCAUUUGCUCCUGAGCCAGGGAUGCAAGCGGAGCAGGUGAGUCGGUGCGGGGACCCUUUGCUGAGCGUGAAGCCUCAGGGAAUUGCAAAUGAAAGUCAGUCCCCCGUGAGAAAAGGAAGCAAUAGUUCUAGCAGUGGCUUUAGUAAUGAGGUAGUUGACGAGCUGUAGUAAGAGCAUUAAUUGCAGAAGUAGCACAGUAGAACUGGUAGUAGCAAUAGUCCUGGCAGUGGUGGUAGUACUAAUUGUUGAAGUAAUAGUAACUAUAGCAAUGGCUGUAUUAGUGGUGGUAGCAGUCCCAACAGUCCCGUAUAUAGUCCUUGGCGAGCAUCUGGAGCUGCUGUACACAUGCAUUCCGUAUAUGAACUCACCUAAUCCACUCAGUGA
RNAcentral lists this long non-coding RNA (620 nucleotides) under Homo sapiens (human). Its description in RNAcentral is "HSALNT0279657". The record is from RNAcentral. Lineage: Eukaryota; Metazoa; Chordata; Mammalia; Primates; Hominidae.